This 484-nucleotide ribosomal RNA is filed under the name uncultured bacterium. RNAcentral's name for it is "partial 16S ribosomal RNA". It matches the Rfam family "Bacterial small subunit ribosomal RNA", at positions 30 to 507 of the family's 1533-position model. The record is from RNAcentral.
AUUGAACGCUGGCGGCAGGCCUAACACAUGCAAGUCGAGCGGAUGAAGGGAGCUUGCUCCUGGAUUCAGCGGCGGACGGGUGAGUAAUGCCUAGGAAUCUGCCUGGUAGUGGGGUAUAACGUCCGGAAACGGGCGCUAAUACCGCAUACGUCCUGAGGGAGAAAGUGGGGGAUCUUCGGACCUCACGCUAUCAGAUGAGCCUAGGUCGGAUUAGCUAGUUGGUGGGGUAAAGGCCUACCAAGGCGACGAUCCGUAACUGGUCUGAGAGGAUGAUCAGUCACACUGGAACUGAGACACGGUCCAGACUCCUACGGGAGGCAGCAGUGGGGAAUAUUGGACAAUGGGCGAAAGCCUGAUCCAGCCAUGCCGCGUGUGUGAAGAAGGUCUUCGGAUUGUAAAGCACGUUAAGUUGGGAGGAAGGGCAGUAAGUUAAUACCUUGCUGUUUUGACGUUACCAACAGAAUAAGCACCGGCUAACUUCGUG